Molecule: ribosomal RNA, 894 nt
Filed under: uncultured Mycobacteriales bacterium
Lineage: Bacteria; Bacillati; Actinomycetota; Actinomycetes; Mycobacteriales
Description: bacterial SSU rRNA
Rfam family: Bacterial small subunit ribosomal RNA
Source: RNAcentral
GAGUUUGAUCCUGGCUCAGGACGAACGCUGGCGGCAUGCCUAAUACAUGCAAGUCGAACGCUGAAGCACUCUGCUUGCAGAGUGUGGAUGAGUGGCGAACGGGUGAGUAACACGUGGGGAACCUACCCAUGAGAGGGGGAUAACAUCCGGAAACGGGUGCUAAUACCGCAUAGGUGUCAGAAACGCAUGUUUCAGACAUUAAAGAUGGCUUCGGCUAUCGCUCAUGGAUGGCCCCGCGGCGGAUUAGCUAGUUGGUGGGGUAAAGGCCUACCAAGGCGACGAUCCAUAGCUGGUCUGAGAGGAUGAUCAGCCACAUUGGGACUGAGACACGGCCCAAACUCCUACGGGAGGCAGCAGUGGGGAAUAUUGGACAAUGGGCGCAAGCCUGAUCCAGCCAUGCCGCGUGAGUGAUGAAGGUCUUAGGAUUGUAAAGCUCUUUCACCGAUGAAGAUAAUGACUGUAGUCGGAGAAGAAGCCCCGGCUAACUUCGUGCCAGCAGCCGCGGUAAUACGUAGGGUGCGAGCGUUGUCCGGAAUUACUGGGCGUAAAGAGCUCGUAGGUGGUUUGUCGCGUCGUCUGUGAAAUCCCGGGGCUUAACCUCGGGCGUGCAGGCGAUACGGGCAUAACUUGAGUGCUGUAGGGGAGAAUGGAAUUCCUGGUGUAGCGGUGAAAUGCGCAGAUAUCAGGAGGAACACCAAUGGCGAAGGCAGGUCUCUGGGCAGUAACUGACGCUGAGGAGCGAAAGCAUGGGUAGCGAACAGGAUUAGAUACCCUGGUAGUCCAUGCCGUAAACGGUGGGCGCUAGGUGUAGGGGACUUCCACGUCUUCUGUGCCGCAGCUAACGCAUUAAGCGCCCCGCCUGGGGAGUACGGUCGCAAGACUGAAACUCAAAGG